Molecule: long non-coding RNA, 1600 nt
Organism: Pantherophis guttatus
Lineage: Eukaryota; Metazoa; Chordata; Lepidosauria; Squamata; Colubridae
Source: RefSeq, a predicted model, not a curated record
GUGCUGCAGGCUAUGAGGACAGAACAGAACUCAUUGUCAGCACUGUCAUCGCCUUGCAGUAGAAGAUAACUCAAAGUGGCAAGCAUAUCCAAAACAUCUUCUUCCACCUAUUUUCCCAAACAACCCUGUGAGGAUUUUUGGUGGACCAGAAUGUAGGUUGUAGAGCUUCAUGAACUCUCCUCAAAGGCAACAUUUUGGACCAUUUUCAAAUCUUGAAUAUAACCUCUUUGCAGAAGAAAUACUCUGACUCUGCUCUUUCUAGCAUCAAAAACUCUAUACAUCUUUCUUGUCUAUCUCUAUGCUUAAAUUAAAUAACUACUUAACUGAUAUCUACAUGGUAUGCCAUCAACCAUGUUUUACUAACAAAGGCACAUAACAAACCAUAUGGCUUUAGCCCAUUUGCAAUAUUUGGAGCAGACGGUUUGUAUUGUGAGUCAAGCUCUGGGGAAAUUUCGCUAAGGGUGAUUUUUAAAUAUGACUUAUUCAAAAACAGUUCAUUUCAUAAUCAGAAGACCUAAUACAAUGCAAACAGAAGUAACAUUGCCAAGAUGGGACUCAUUGUUAGACACUUUAGUGUUUCUUCCAUUCAGAGAAACCAUAAGCUAUGGGAUAUAGGGAAUAUUUUCUGAUUAAAAAAGAAAAAGAAAAAGUAUUCUUCAGGGAAUGAAUAAGCAAUAAGAAAUAAGACCAAUGGAAAUGUCAAACUUCUACCCUUUUCACUUACAUUUCCAUAAUCUGUACUGACAGCAUUCAAUUCAUGUUUGCUUGCCUGACUUAUAGCAUAAUGUUAUAUGAGGCUAACAAUCAUAGGAAUUCUACAGAAAAUUAGUAAAUCUCCAAUUAUUUUUCCUUUGGUAUCAAAGGAGUUAACUGGCAGGUGCAUUAUGUGAUGGGUGUCCAUGAUGACAAUAGCAAAAUUGUGACAAAUCUUAUUUUAAAAAUCAUCAUAAAUUUCUACAUUCACAGAGACAUAUUCUAUUUAAAUGAGACCAUUUUGUAACCAAAGCAAUUUGCAUUGGGCUCAUUCCUAUCUAUAGUCAUCAUAUAUCAUAUGAAUAUAAUUCCUAUUUAGAGCUGGGAUUUGAAUAAGGGCAAAGAAUUAUACUGUGCCAAUUUGCUGCAGAUCAUAAUUAGAAAAGAUAGCUCACAUUUAGAAUCUCUGCCAAAUCAAUUUCAUGAAGUUUCAUAGCCUACUUAAUAAAGAUGAUAAUUGUCCAACAAACACAUUCAUUUGUCUAAUGAAAACAUGAUUCAAUAUUUGGGAAAUUUUGAGUUAUGGGUAACAGUGUUCUUUUCAGGACAUGCAUGUUUUUCUUUUGAAUUUUUUUUUAUUUUUAAACAAAACAUAAAACAACCAUCAUCCAUUACAAUUACAGAAAGUGUGUUGAUUAGUUACAGAUCUUUUGUGCUUAAUCCCAUAUCCAAAACACUCUUAUUUGACAAUUUAUUAUAUCCCUUUGUAUUGUUAUUCUCAUUUACCAAUCAUUUAACAGUGGCUUAUCUUCCAUAAAAACCCACUUCAUACAUUUUAUUAUUACAUUCAUUUCAUUUCCAUGCUUUAUUAUCUAGCCAUUGAUAAAAUAAAUCCCAUAUCAAAUAA